AAGCCAGCCAAUAAGUCUGCUUACCUGAAUGUGUUCUGCAGAAACUUAGAGAAAGCUGGCAAUAGUCAAGCCAUGUUACGAGCCUUAAAGACAUUGAAGUCGUUAAGGUCCCUGAAAAUGGCUAUAAGA
Molecule: small nucleolar RNA, 129 nt
Filed under: Myotis brandtii (Brandt's bat)
Lineage: Eukaryota; Metazoa; Chordata; Mammalia; Chiroptera; Vespertilionidae
Description: Small nucleolar RNA SNORA33
Rfam family: Small nucleolar RNA SNORA33
About the family: ACA33 is a member of the H/ACA class of snoRNA that guide the sites of modification of uridines to pseudouridines.
Source: Rfam by way of RNAcentral